UAGGGAAUAUUGCACAAUGGGCGAAAGCCUGAUGCAGCAACGCCGCGUGCGCGAUGAAGGCCUUCGGGUCGUAAAGCGCUUUUCGGGGAGAUGGGGAAGGACAGUAUCCCCGGAAUAAGGCUCGGCUAACUACGUGCCAGCAGCCGCGGUAAAACGUAGGAGCCAAGCGUUAUCCGAAUUCACUGGGCGUAAAGCGCGUGCAGGCGGCAUGAUAAGUUGGAUGUGAAAUCUCCUGGCUCAACUGGGAGGGGACGUUCAAUACUGACAAGCUAGAGGACGGCAGAGGGAGGUGGAAUUCCCGGUGUAGUGGUGAAAUGCGUAGAUAUCGGGAGGAACACCAGUGGCGAAAGCGGCCUUCUGGGCCGAUCCUGACGCUCAGACGCGAAAGCUAGGGGAGCGAACG
Molecule: ribosomal RNA, 403 nt
Filed under: uncultured bacterium
Lineage: Bacteria
Description: bacterial SSU rRNA
Rfam family: Bacterial small subunit ribosomal RNA
Source: RNAcentral